UGGCUCAGAUUGAACGCUGGCGGCAGGCCUAACACAUGCAAGUCGAGCGGUAACAGGUCCUUCGGGGCGCUGACGAGCGGCGGACGGGUGAGUAACGCAUGGGAACUUACCCAGUAGUGGGGGAUAGCCCGGGGAAACCCGGAUUAAUACCGCAUACGCCCUGAGGGGGAAAGCGGGCUCCGGCUCGCGCUAUUGGAUGGGCCCAUGUCGGAUUAGUUAGUUGGUGGGGUAAAGGCCUACCAAGGCGACGAUCCGUAGCUGGUCUGAGAGGAUGAUCAGCCACACCGGGACUGAGACACGGCCCGGACUCCUACGGGAGGCAGCAGUGGGGAAUAUUGGACAAUGGGGGCAACCCUGAUCCAGCCAUGCCGCGUGUGUGAAGAAGGCCUUCGGGUUGUAAAGCACUUUCAGCCGGGAGGAAAAGCUAGUCGUUAAUACCGGCUAUGUGUUGACGUACCUGCAGAAGAAGCACCGGCUAACUCCGUGCCAGCCGCCGCGGUAAUACGGAGGGUGCAAGCGUUAAUCGGAAUUACUAGGCGUAAAGGGCGCGUAGGCGGUCUGAUAAGCAGGUUGUGAAAGCCCCGGGCUCAACCUGGGAAUUGCAAUCCGAACUAUCAUGGCUAGAGUGCAGCAGAGGGCAGUGGAAUUCCCGGUGUAGCGGUGAAAUGCGUAGAUAUCGGGAGGAACACCAGUGGCGAAGGCGACUGCCUGGGCUGACACUGACGCUGCGGUGCGAAAGCGUGGGUACCAAACAGGAUUAGAUACCCUGGUAGUCCACGCUGUAAACGUUGAGAACUAGUCGUUGGGGCUAUUAGAGCCUUAGUGACGCAGCCAACGCGAUAAGUUCUCCGUCCUGGGGAGUACGGCCGCAAGGUUAAAACUCAAAUGAAUUGACGGGGGCCCGCACAAGCGGUGGAGCAUGUGGUUUAAUUCGACGCAACGCGAAGAACCUUACCUGGUCUUGACAUCCUGCGAACUUGCUAGAGAUAGCUUGGUGCCUUCGGGAGCGCAGUGACAGGUGCUACAUGGCCGUCGUCAGCUCGUGUCGUGAGAUGUUGGGUUAAGUCCCGUAACGAGCGCAACCAUUGUCCUCAGUUACCAGCACUUCGGGUGGGCACUCUGGAGAGACUGCAGGUGACUAACCGGAGGAAGGUGGGGAUGACGUCAGGUCAUCAUGGCCAUUACGGCCAGGGCUACACACGUGCUACAAUGGGGCGUACAGAGGGCAGCGAGUGCGCGAGC
RNAcentral lists this ribosomal RNA (1242 nucleotides) under Salicola marasensis. RNAcentral's name for it is "bacterial SSU rRNA". It matches the Rfam family "Bacterial small subunit ribosomal RNA", at positions 20 to 1262 of the family's 1533-position model. The record is from RNAcentral. Lineage: Bacteria; Pseudomonadati; Pseudomonadota; Gammaproteobacteria; Oceanospirillales; Halomonadaceae.